UUCCGGUUGAUCCUGCCGGAGGCUACCGCUAUUGGAGUUCGAUUAAGCCAUGCGAGUCGAGAGUCUUAGGGACUCGGCGCACCGCUCAGUAACACGUGGGUAACCUGCCCUAUGCUGGGGAAUAACCUCGGGAAACUGAGAAUAAUGCCCCAUAGCCCACUACGCCUGGAACGGUGAGUGGGUCAAAGCUCCGGCGGCAUAGGAUGGGCCUGCGCCGUAUCAGGUUGUAGGGGGUGUAAAGUACCCUCUAGCCAUCAACGCGUACGGGUGUUGGGAGACAUUGCCCGGAGAUGGAUUCUGAGACACGAAUCCAGACCCUACGGGGUGCAGCAGGCGCGAAAACUUGGCAAUGCGAGCAAUCGUGACCAGGGAACUCCAAGUGCGUAGGGUAAGACCUACGCUUUUCUUGACUCUUCAAAGGUCUUGGAAUAAGGGGUGGGUAAGGACGGUGCCAGCCGCCGCGGUAAUACCGGCGCCUCAAGUGGUAGUCGCUUUUAUUGGGCCUAAAACGUCCGUAGCCGGUCUGGUGCAUUCGUGGGUAAAUCAACCCGCUCAACGGGUUGAAUUCUGCGAGGACGGCCAGACUUGGGACCGGGAGAGGUGUGGGGUACUCUCAGGGUAGGGGUAAAAUCCUGUCAUCCUGAGAGGACCACCUGUUGCGAAGGCUCCACACUAGAACGGAUCCGACGGUCAGGGACGAAGCCUAGGGGCACGAACCGGAUUAGAUACCCGGGUAGUCCUAGGUGUAAACGCUGUGGACUUGAUGUUGGGGACGCUCCGAGCGUUCCCAGUGUCGAAGCGAAGGUGAUAAGUCCACUGCCUGGGGAGUACGGUCGCAAGGCUGAAACUUAAAGGAAUUGGCGGGGGAGCACCGCAACCUGAGGAUUGUGCGGUUUAAUUGGAUUCAACGCCGGG
This 915-nucleotide ribosomal RNA is filed under the name uncultured archaeon. Its description in RNAcentral is "bacterial SSU rRNA". It matches the Rfam family "Archaeal small subunit ribosomal RNA", at positions 1 to 922 of the family's 1478-position model. The record is from RNAcentral.